GACGAACGCUGGCGGCGUGCCUAAUACAUGCAAGUAGAACGCAGUUGCGAACGUGUGAGUAACUCGUAGGUAACUGCCUCAUAGCGGGGGAUAACUAUUGGAAACGAUAGCUAAUACCGCAUCCUGUGAGAUGUACCUGCUUUGUAUUAGCUAGUUGGUGAGGUAAAGGCUCACCAGGGCGACGAUACAUAGCCGACCUGAGAGGGUGAUGGGACACACUGGGACUGAGACACGGCACAGACUACUACGGGAGGAAGCAGUAGGGAAUCUUCGGCAAUGGACGGAAGUCUGACCGAGCAACGCCGCGUGAGUGAAGAAGGGUUUCGGAUCGGAAAGCUCUGUUGUUAGAGAAGCGGUAACUAAACAGAAAGGGACGGCUAACUACGUGCCAGCAGCCGCGGUAAUAC
This 407-nucleotide ribosomal RNA is filed under the name uncultured bacterium. Its description in RNAcentral is "partial 16S ribosomal RNA". It matches the Rfam family "Bacterial small subunit ribosomal RNA", at positions 28 to 526 of the family's 1533-position model. The record is from RNAcentral.